RNAcentral lists this long non-coding RNA (1219 nucleotides) under Equus caballus (horse). RNAcentral describes it as "lncRNA (ENSECAG00000059871.1)". The record is from RNAcentral. Lineage: Eukaryota; Metazoa; Chordata; Mammalia; Perissodactyla; Equidae.
AAAGUUUGUUUCUUGCUCACAGAAUUCUGGUGAGCAGCUGCCCUCCAAGUGAUGACUGAGCAAUUCAUACUUUUUCUAUCCUGUAGCUCUGCUGUCUUUACACACUGCUUUCUGAGUCAGGGCUGCAGAGCGUGAAACACGCACACUAGCUUUUAACUAUAUAUAACUCGUACUCAUGGGCCAUUCGCCAGAAUGGUCUCGUGGCUCCAACUCAACCAAGGGGACAGGGUAGUAAAUCCCCCACGUACCUAGGAAGAAAAGAAGAACAUGUUAGUGAGUCCUGACCUGGAGAGGAUCCAGCUCCUGUAACGACUGAGGCCUUGUGAGUAUUCCAAGGAACUCCGUCCACUGCCUGUGACUUAGAACAUCUGCGUGAAUACAGAAAAGUUCAGCCGGACACCUGGAUGCUCUGUCCAGUCGAUACUCGACAUCUGAGGGUUUCCAGAAGCCUCCAAGCCUGGGGCCACGUCUGCACAGUUCAGGGAGAGGAAGUUUGACUCACUUGAGUUAUUUGAUCCAUGUGGACAGGCGCUGUGGGUCCCCAGGAAGCCACAGCAGCAUUCUUGAUCGCCCAGUGGUCUGUGGCUGAGGUUUCUGCCGAGAUCAUUGCCAAAGCCCACUUCCUUGUGUUCUGGAGCUCCUGGAUUAAACUGGGUUUAAGCCACGCCGCACAGGCAAGAGGCCCUCGAAUCGAAUUCUGGCGUCAUCUCUUUCUAACUACAAGAUGUGAGGCCAAAGAAAGUGGCUUAGCUGGGCCCAGCCUCAUUUCCUGCCAACUCAUAUGUUCCGAAGAGCCCGUAAGUCUCAUGGUUCCCUGUCCCCAAGCCGUCCUGCCUCCGUGAGGCUGCGCUUGGAAAGCCCUCGCUUUAUCUUGUUUUCCAGGUAAACUCCCAGCCAUCCCUUUAUGCCCAGAUCUGAUGUAAGGCUCUUGGGGGCACUCCCACCCCGCCCCCAGGCCUCUGCGGUCCUCUCAGGUGCUUUAAUCACCUCUGCAGUGAGCAAUUUCUGGAAUUCGGCUGCAUCCACAUCCAUGCUGCAUACUAGACUGGGAACUCCUCUGAGGCAAAAGCUCUUGGCUUCAUCUGCCUGGCACCCAGUAGGUUCACAGUGUCUCCAAUGAGAAUAACAGCAACAGGACCUUAGCGCUCAUUGCCCGCCAGGUGCCAUCCUAGCCACCUUCGGUGAUUGAAGUCAUUUAAUACACACAGCAAUUCGCACC